AACGAACGCUGGCGGCAGGCCUAACACAUGCAAGUCGAACGAGUAAGAGCCGUAGCAAUACGGAGUUCUGCUAGUGGCGCACGGGUGAGUAACGCGUGGGAACGUGCCUUGGAGUUCGGGAUAACAGUUGGAAACGACUGCUAAUACCGAAUAUUCCCUCAGGGGGAAAGAUUUAUCGCUCCAAGAUCGGCCCGCGUAAGAUUAGGUAGUUGGUGGGGUAAUGGCCUACCAAGCCUACGAUCUUUAGCUGGUCUGAGAGGACGACCAGCCACACUGGAACUGAGACACGGUCCAGACUCCUACGGGAGGCAGCAGUGGGGAAUAUUGGACAAUGGGGGGCAACCCUGAUCCAGCCAUGCCGCGUGUGUGAAGAAGGCCUC
RNAcentral lists this ribosomal RNA (380 nucleotides) under uncultured bacterium. Its description in RNAcentral is "bacterial SSU rRNA". It matches the Rfam family "Bacterial small subunit ribosomal RNA", at positions 29 to 418 of the family's 1533-position model. The record is from RNAcentral.